Molecule: ribosomal RNA, 435 nt
Filed under: uncultured bacterium
Lineage: Bacteria
Description: partial 16S ribosomal RNA
Rfam family: Bacterial small subunit ribosomal RNA
Source: RNAcentral
GAUGAACGCUGGCGGUAUGCUUAACACAUGCAAGUCGAACGGACUCUUCGGAGUUAGUGGCGGACGGGUGAGUAACGCGUGAGAAUCUGGCUUUGGGUUCGGGACAACCACUGGAAACGGUGGCUAAUACCGGAUGUGCCGAGAGGUAAAAGAGAAAUUGCCUGAAGAUGAGCUCGCGUCUGAUUAGCUAGUUGGUGAGGUAAAGGCUCACCAAGGCAGCGAUCAGUAGCUGGUCUGAGAGGAUGACCAGCCACACUGGGACUGAGACACGGCCCAGACUCCUGCGGGAGGCAGCAGUGGGGAAUUUUCCGCAAGGGGCGAAAGCCUGACGGAGCAAUACCGCGUGAGGGAAGAAGGCUCUUGGGUUGUAAACCUCUUUUCUUAGGGAAGAACAAAAUGACGGUACCUAAGGAAUCAGCAUCGGCUAACUCCGUG